CAACUGGGAUUGCCUUAGUAACGGCGAGUGAAGCGGCAAUAGCUCAAAUUUGAAAGCUGGCUCCUUCGGAGUCCGCGUUGUAAUUUGUAGAGGAUGCUUCGGCGAGGGCUCCCGCCUAAGUCCCCUGGAACGGGGCGUCAUAGAGGGUGAGAAUCCCGUAUGCGGUGGGUUGCCUUAGCCAUGUGAAGCUCCUUCGACGAGUCGAGUUGUUUGGGAAUGCAGCUCUAAAUGGGAGGUAAAUUUCUUCUAAAGCUAAAUACCGGCCAGAGACCGAUAGCGCACAAGUAGAGUGAUCGAAAGAUGAAAAGCACUUUGGAAAGAGAGUUAAAAAGUACGUGAAAUUGUUGAAAGGGAAGCGCUUGCAGCCAGACUUGUCCGCAGUUGCUCAGCCGGUCUCCUGACCGGCGUACUCUUCUGCGGCCAGGCCAGCAUCAGUUCGGGCGGUCGGAUAAAGGUUCUGGGAAUGUGGCUCCUCUCGGGGAGUGUUAUAGCCCAGUUCGCAAUGCGACCAGCCUGGACUGAGGAUCUCGCUUCGGCUAGGAUGCUGGCGUAAUGGCUGUAAGCGGCCCGUCUUGAAACACGGACCAAGGAGUCUAACAUCUAUGCGAGUGUUUGGGUGUCAAACCCAUGCGCGUAAUGAAAGUGAACGGAGGUGGGAACCCUCACGGGUGCACCAUCGACCGAUCCUGAUGUCUUCGGAUGGAUUUGAGUAAGAGCAUAGCUGUUGGGACCCGAAAGAUGGUGAACUAUGCCUGAAUAGGGUGAAGCCAGAGGAAACUCUGGUGGAGGCUCGCAGCGGUUCUGACGUGCAAAUCGAUCGUCAAAUUUGGGUAUAGGGGCGAAAGACUA
RNAcentral lists this ribosomal RNA (849 nucleotides) under Endomelanconiopsis microspora. RNAcentral describes it as "eukaryotic LSU rRNA". It matches the Rfam family "Eukaryotic large subunit ribosomal RNA", at positions 66 to 933 of the family's 3401-position model. The record is from RNAcentral. Lineage: Eukaryota; Fungi; Ascomycota; Dothideomycetes; Botryosphaeriales; Botryosphaeriaceae.